GAUCACAGCUGUGAGGCAAAUUAAAUGAUGAUCUUUCACUCUCCUCUUCCUCCGCUUUUCAAAUGCCCCCCUCCACCUUCACCCCAUCCUGUCACCCUCCAGAAGGCGUGGAGGAAGAAAUGGAGGAGGGUGAGAAAGGUAAAAGUAGAAAGCUUGAGAGAGAAAGGUAGAAUGUGAGUGAGGCAGGGGGAGGAGAUGAAGAGGGUGGAGAGAGUGUGUGUUUUUUUCUUCCAGUCUUCCCUCCUUCCACCUCUGCAUGUGAUUGAGGAAGAAAACAAUGCGAGGGAAUGGGUGAGGAGGAGAGAAAGCAGAGCAAGACAAGAGAUCAGCAGGCACAGUGUUUUUUUUCCUUUAACCUGGAGCUGUGGGCGUGUGCGUGCGUGUGUUCUAAUGUGCGUGUCCAUGCAUGGGUUUUUGUUGUCCUCUCUCUUGCCCACCUGCUUUGGACCUGCAGGUCUGGAUGAAAACAGGCAGAGAGCAAAAGGAGCACUGGGCGGUGAGGGCAUCCUGGACCCAAAGGGGGGGGAUGAUUAAACCAGAUCAUAACAUAUUGAAACAGGCCAGGUACCUGAGAUGGAUUAAAAAGUCUUAGCUGCCCCUAUGAACGCACACACACAAACGCAUACACGCCCACACACCCGCACACACACUUGUGUGUAUGGGAUGUCAUUACCAGAAUGUACAUUUAAAUAUUUCUGCAUGUCUCCUAGAAUGUCUCUGUGAAAUACUGUAAUGACAAUAAAAUACAUCUAAAGUUCCUGUGUCGUAUUUUCUUCAAGAUAUCCAUCAAGGUUUCAUGCUGUUUCAUUAAGUUUAUACUACUCUAUUAAUAUUUAUUUAAACAGUUAUUAUUCAUUAGGUUUACUAAUUUUUGUCUUUAUUUGAAAAUUACUUAUAUAGCUUUUUUGCUAUUUUGUUUUUAGCUUUAAUAAAACUACUGCUUUAUGUGCUGUGAUAACAUGUUGCAUACAAGUUACUUUGAGUUGUCAAAAAUGUUUACGUUUGCUAUACUUUAUAACUGUGAAGAUUGUGAUUGUCCAUCUGAAAGUAAUGUUGAUUAAAGCCCAUCAAACUGAAUCUGUUUUGUACCAAUGUUGUCAGUAAAUACAGAUUUAUUGCUAUUAUUUUAGCACAGCCUUAGCUUAGCAUGCUCUAGCUAGAACUCCAUAGCUGUGUCCGAAUUCAGAGUGUGCAUCCUUCAAAGGACAGAUUUGUAGGCCGAUUACAUCAUAGCACGCUGACAAAACCUGUCUAAAUUCAAAGAUUCCUUCAAAUGCGUCCUUGUUUUCCACCAAAUGGGUCUGGUGUAUUCUUCACAGUCCACCUUAUCCCAUUACUCAAAGCGCAAUGGUGGUGAAGAGCAGCAAAUAAUUUUACUAUAUUACACUUUACAUGACAACAUAAUUUUUUACAAUGUUUGUUGGCCAGAAUGUGACUUUGUAAGUCUCAAAGAUUUGCUCAGUUUAUCAAUACAUCACCUAAUUUCAAUAUUGUUCUGACAUUUUCGGAGAUGUCUGCUCCCGCUGCAUUAUCAUCCAGCUCCCCUUGCCAGCUGUAAGCUAGCCAGGUGCUCUAGGUUUUCUAGAACGCCUGACUCCCGGCACAUUGUUUUAAAAACUCCAAGUAGCUUUCCCCAAUAAGUUGAAGUUAAACACAGAUAUUAUUCAGAUAGGUAAUAUCUAGUUGUAAAAUGAUUUUUUUUUUUUUACUAAAGUAUUUAAUUUAUUCUUGAGCAAAUUGGUUUGAUUGAUUAAAGUUAAGGAUUCAAACAUCUUAUCUGAGAUCUGGAGAGUAUUGUAUUUGAAAAUGAAUAACUUGCUAAUAUUUAUUAGCAAAUGUGUAAUACACGUUUGAACAUUUUAGAAUCAAACUGACAGAUUUAUUUUUUUACUAUGGAACAGCUUUUACUAUAAAAGGUGAAGAAUAAUACAGAAAUCAGGAGUAACACAUGACUGAAAAACAAACUUCGGCUCCGUUCUUUUUUCUUCGCUGCUCUCUGCUUCAUGCUUUCACCAUUGAUAGGUAACCUAAGUUACGCUGAGGUUGGGGCAGGGACUGUUGGUGAAGGCUAGACCUGUCCGAAUUCAUAGCUUUUCUCUUCCGGUCUUUGUUUAUUCACGGCCUUCAAAGGAUGCAGACCCCGAAUUCAUACGUGUAUGUAUACACUCAUGAGAUCUGAGAACUACUGCUACAUUCUAACAUUUCAUUAUACCAAUUGUAUCAAUAAUAAUAUUUUUUUGCAUUUAAGUACAAGUUUUAAUGUUAUGGAGAAUUUUCAUGCGAAUUUCUGCUUUUCUGACUAUAGUGUGUAAUGCUGCCGACCUUUUUAAAAAUUUUUUAAAUCAAAUGUUGAAUUUCUUUUCAGUAACUAUUGAACUUUGAUUUGAAUCUGCAAUUGUUGUGACUGACUCCAAUACCAGAGAGCUUACAUGUGAAGCGUUUCCUCCCAGUCAGGUUUUGGUUAAAGGUUUGACACAAGCAGCAGAGAAAUGUUUGCGAUUAAGAUUUUACUGCUGCGGAACCUGAAAAAGAAAAUACAACUGCAUAUUUUAAGAUAAUCAGAUGAGAAAGCUGUCAUUAAUUCAAAAACUUUUUUUAUUUAAUCCAAAAAUGCUUAAAUGUAGUUUUUACUUCCUAGGGGUUUAGACAUGCUUUUCAACUGUGCAAAUAUAUAAUGAACAUCUGUGUCAUGAUGUGUAGCAUUUCUUUGUUACCUAAAUAAAACUGCACUUUUUAAAUUUACCUUCCAAAAAUAAUUAUUCUCAGGUUUUAUUAUUUAGUGAUACUAUUGCAGAAUGUGGAAAUAUGAUAAAACUAAAAACAAAUGCUUUAUUUAAUUAGAAGAUAAAUCAAUUUGUUAUAAUGCUAAAAAUGUGAGUUAACUUUCUGAGUAUACAGAGCCUUGUAAUGAAAAUUAGAGUAAUUAAAUUAUAGUCAGAAGACAUAAAAGCUCAUUUUAAAUACACAGUUGGGAAUUGUGAUUUUUUUAUUUCUUUGCUUAUGUGACAAUAAUAUUGGUGCUUUCAUUUUAUUAUUGAUUUCAUUUCCUGUAUUUCCAUGCUGCUUGUUAAGUAAUUAUUUAGCAACACUGAGCAACAGAAAGACACUGGUAAAUUCUAAAACUGUUUUAUAAAGUCAAAUUAGUGGGAAGAACAAAUGUGCCUUUUUUUGAUAAAGUCGGAAGAUUGCUUCAGUAUGAUUCAAAUUCUGCUUUUAGGAAGAUUAUAUUUCUUUUCUCCUCAAAAAACUUUAAUUCAGUUUGUAAUAAGCUGAAUGUAUGUAUGCUUCAACACAUUCCUUUUUCCAAGUUUACUUACUUUCCAACAAAUUCACAGUUAUAUAGAAAACAAUAUGCAUAUCCUUUAUUAUGUAGUGAAUAAUGUGUUGCACAUACAGAAAAUCUUACUCGGUUGAACUUCACUCUAGACAAAAAAAGUGUUUUCUGUUCAUUUGUAUUUUUAAGAGUUAGUAUAGAUAGUUGGCCUAAAGGGAACCCUAAAAGAAAUACACAGAGAAGCAGUGUGUCCGCUGCUUUUUGCUGUGCCUUGCUUCCUCAUCGCUCACACACUCUGCCUUAAAUCCACGCUGAGGUUUGGCUCAAACGCUUUAGCUCUCUGCUGCCGAAAGUAGGCCAAAAACAAUCUGAGGACAAGGCUCAGGCAGAGUCAAAAAGCUACUGAUGGGUGGGGUAGGAAAAAUGCAACGUCAUUUAGGAAUAUCUGUCGUUUCUGGAAAUCCGGUUCAUAGUUUAAUCUUUGGCUUUUUUCUACAGAAAUUAUAUCUGACACUUUCGGGCUUAUCUGCAGCUGUAAGGUUUUCUUCUGACACAAUUUUACAGAGAUAAACUGAGUUGUCAAUUUGACUUUUGAUUAAAAUACUGACCAACAUAUAAAAGGAGGUUUUUGAAGGUUGAUGACAACAAAAGCUGUGCUUGGAUUCUAUAAAACAGUAUGAAUUGAAGAAAACAGUUAAUUCAGUUUCUGUGCUUUUUCAAAUAAGUCCAAAAAACUACAGGUAAACAGAGUAUUAAAUUUAAACUCUGCUGUACGUUUUAUGCCAUUUUUGUGAAGAGUUUAAACAUUUUUUUAGUUUCAUGGAUUCCUGAAACAAUCUGCAAACUCUCCAAUCAAUUCACAAUCUUUCACAAACUCACACAUUUAGGUUCAAAAUCUAAAACUCAGAAAAUUUGACUUAAAGAGACACAACUAAAUAUUCCUCAAAUGUUUUGAUAGUGUGAAUAGUAACCAGAAAUCUUAUUACUGUAUGAGUAGAAUUACUCCAACAUGUUUUACUUAAGCAGAAAUAGAAAGUGGUUUUGAAAAAAAAUAUUCUCAAGUAAGAAAAAAUAAUUUGGUGAACAUGCUACAUUUGAUGUAAUCACAUGUACAAAAUAUAAAGUUAUGUUGAAAUUUUGGUAUCUUAGAGAAAAAAAAUAAGAAAUGAGAAAAUGGUAACAUCUUGUUGCAAAACUAUAUUUCCAAAUCAAUUGUUUUUUUGCAGCAUAAGCCUGUGAUACCAAAAUUAGAGAAGAUUUAAUGUGUAUGUAUGAUAAUAUAGAUGAGCUAUUCACUGUAUAUUCACUUGCUUUCUGAAUGACAGCAACUAGAAAAUAACACUAGAACAAAGCUCAUGUUCAUACAAAAAGUCUAAAUUUAACACAAACUGUGUUAAAUUGUUUUAGUUUUAGUUUUAGUUUUAGUAAUUUUGCAGCUCUGAAGAAGCUGCAAAAUUAUAAACAGUAAGCUGCAUGAACUUGGAUGCAUGAACAUGAAUUUUCUUUCAUCUUUAACCUGAAGAAAUAAGUAAAUGCAAAAUCUGCUUUCCCUCUGUAUAUAGUGUAAAGGUUAUUAACCAUAAAGUAUCAUAAGUAAAUAAAGUAAAUUAGAUAUCUGAAAUCUUGGGAGAAAAUUUAAAUUUUACUAAAAUGUUUCUUUCAAAUGUCCAAGCUCUUUGAAGUAAGCUUUAGCCCAAGGUUAUGACUUAAUACUUUAACAAACUUAUUCGUUUUGAUAAAAUAGCAUGUAUCCUUUAGGAAUGGCCCGAUAAUUGUUACUGUCAUUUUAAAAGCUACAAUUUUAAAACUUUAUGGUUGUUAAUCAUACUGUUUUCACAAAAUAGAACCCUCUAACCCAGAACGUGUGUUACAAUGUUUAAUCUCUAUUUCAAACAAACAAAAUACAAAUGUUGAUUUUUCUUCUGUUUUUCUUACUUAAAAUUAGAGAUUGCUUCCUAGUGUUGUCUUGGAAUGCUACUGGAAAGGAAAUUUGCUCGUAAGUGAAGGUCACAAAUGACCACAAGUUGAUAAACCUGUAACCUGUAUUCACUCAGAUUAUUCACAUAGAAGUAAAAUGUGUUUUCACAUUUUUUGGUCACUAAAAUGUCCAGAACAUGUUCGUGCAACACUUGUACAAAAUGCACAAUAGGGCAUAUUUUAUUCAUAUUAGAUAUAUACUUUCAAAAACUUUACAAAAAGUAACUGAAGAAUCUAAGUUAAUUAAUUGCAACAACAUUUAAUUUUUGAAUUGUAUUGAACUGACAAACUAAACAAAUCUGAAAAUAUAUUUUCAUUUCCAGAGAUUACCUACAAAAUCAUCUAAAAGGCUUAACUUUUUUAUUUUCCAUGUUUUUAUCCGUGAAAGGUUUAGGGAAAUCAUGUUUCCUUUAGAAACUUUAAACUGAAAUACAACAUAUAAAAUAAUUGCUCCAGGCUUAAAUAGGCACAUAAAAUGACACUGAUAAAGAUAUUUUAAUGAUUAAGUGCAACAGCUCAGGCACUUACUAGAUCAUUUUACUUACAGACCUUUCACAUCAUGAAGAAAGUGUCUGAAGGUCUAUGAUGGUUUAACUUGUUUCUCAUUAUGUCAAAAAUAAGUGUUUUACAAUAUGCUUCUGCACCCUGGGAACAUUUCACAUUCUUUUAAAUCAGUAUGCAUUCAUACCGAUGCAUUCAUACAUGUCUGACCUUCAGCAAGGUCAGACAUGUACUAUAUAUCAGUGGUCCCCAACCCCUGGGCCACACAAGAAAUAAUUAAAUAUUUCCGUGAUAUGUAUUGAGUCUGGAGGAUCUUUUAUUUAGAAAAGCCUUUGACCGGACUCUGUCGGUUGUGUCUUGCGCUGCAACAUUGAGCCCACAAGCAGCAUCAGUUUCGAUUUCCUCCCUACGCCCCCCCAUGCAGCAAAGCUUUUGAAGAUCUUAAAAAUGCAAUCUGCACAGAGUCUGUUUUGCACACCCCUGACUUUGAGAAAUCAUUUACACUGCAAACAGAUGCUUCAGGGGUGGGUCUUGGGGCAGUUUUGUUGCAGGAAGUGGAUGGAGAGAUGAAGCCAGUGGUGUUUCUGAGCCAUAAGCUUCUGGAUAGAGAAACCAGAUAUUCAACGGUGGAGAACGAAUGUCUCACAAUGAAGUGAGCCAUCGAAUCAUUGACCUGCUGGGGCGACAUUUCUUUCUGGAAACAGACCACUGGGCCCUCCAGUGGUUGCAUCAGAUGAAAGACGCAAAUGCACGGAUUGCUGGAUGGUACCCUGCUCUGCAACCAUAUAACUUCACUGUACAUUACAAGGCUGGAAAAACUAACACUGUAGCUGACUGUCCAGGAUUCCUGAAAGUUAAGAUACUGUGAGCUUAUGGAGAAGGGGGAGGAAAUGUAAUGAAGGUCUUCAUUACUGGGAUGAAAACACUUAAAAGGGUGUGUUGAAUAAGAGACAGAUACAGAUCGAAGUAUUUUAUUGUUUGUGUGUUUUUGUGCAGUGGCAUCUCAGCUGGAACUGAUGGUGUCCUGUUAAAAUACAACAAACAAAUGGAUGGGUCUUGUAACUGUUUGAAAUACACUGAAAUGUUUGUGUAGAUGUGGCUUACCUCUGUCUCUUCCUCUGCAGGGUGUUCAGGCUGAAAGAUUCCCCAGGGGCCUGAGGACCUUAUAAAGGUUCCGGAGGAGACCAAUGCAGAUGGAAGAGGGGGAGCGAUAGAAUGAUGCAUUUUAGAAGUUUAAUGAUUGGAUUUAUAUUUAUAGAAAGAUAUUUUUAGAAAUGAAAUGGCUGCUUAGAAAUGAAGAGCAUUUGUUAAUAUUGUGUUGAAGAUUUGGUUGUUUGUCAAGAUUGUUUGUGUAUAUGUAUUUUGUCCUACCCUGUUUCUUGGUGGGGUUGUCAAUUGGAGCAGCCAGGAACUAUAAAAACCUGCAUGUUGGUCACAUUGCAGGUUGGUAGGUGUGGUUGCUGCUGAGACCCAUGGCUGUUGUAAGCAGAAUUAUCUAAAUGUUAAAUGUUGGAGAAUAAACACCUGGUUGGUCUGCACUAUU
Long non-coding RNA from Xiphophorus maculatus (southern platyfish), 7295 nucleotides. RefSeq lists it as uncharacterized. The transcript is spliced from 3 exons. NCBI's taxonomy places the organism in Eukaryota, Metazoa, Chordata, Actinopteri, Cyprinodontiformes, Poeciliidae. The record is from RefSeq and is a predicted model, not a curated record.